UCGACCACCAACCUUUCGCAUCCGAGCUCCUCCACCUCUGCCCCCCUUUCCUCACCCACCCCAACUCCAAAGGCGACAUGCCUCUCCAUGUCGCCGCCCGAUCAGGCCACUCCACCAUUGUCAAAGCUCUGAUAAGUUUCGGCAAACUUUUGGGAGAUGUUGUUGAGGGAGGACGAGGAGGGGUUGGAGAGUCUCCAGCUUAUGUGGCGGCAGAGAGGGGAUGGGUCGAUAUAUUUCGGAAGAUAAUGAAGGCUACGCCCCAGUUUGUAGAGAAGGGGCCUGAUGCUUGGACACCCCUCCAUGCGACAGUCAUUAGAGGACACCGAGAGAUCGUUGAAGACCUACUAAGGGACAAACCAAACCUCACCAAAAAUGUGGACACCUUUGGCAGCACUGCUUUACACUAUGCGGCAUCCGCAAAUCAUAUCGAAAUACUAAAAGCCCUCCUAACGACGGAAUCCAAGUCCGGCGUACCUCUUAGAUGAAGAUGGCCUCUCCCCGCUGCACAUAGCAGCAGGCUCAGGGCAUGUGGCAGCAAUGCAAGAGCUAUUGUUAGCCUGCCCUGAUAGCGUUGAGUUACUCGACGAGGUUGGGCACAAUGCAUUCCAUGUGGCAGCCGAGAACGAUGAGCCCAGCAUCAUUAUGCACGCAUGCAGGCGAUCAGAAUUGGCUGAGCUGUUGAAUGAACCAGAUGGCCAAGGGAACACAGUACUUCAUAUCACUGUCAGAAAAGAAAACAGUCAUAAUGUGAACCUUCUUUUGGAUUUGCCGAACUUGGACUUCAGGGCCAUGAACAGCCAUGGCGAUACCGCUUUGGAUAUCACAGCUCAAAAGGGUGGGCAUACAUAUGAGCAGGUUGCAAUAUGGAAGGCCCUAGAGAUCCGUGGGGCAGCACGAGGGCGGCGCCGCCAAAGUCAGGAGCCACGACAGCAUUGGACAAGUGAGGCCACCAAUGAGUCAUACAAGACGAUGGCUAACACACUCGCUCUUGUGGCCACCCUGAUUGCCAUUGUCACUUUUGCAGCUGCUUUCACCAUGCCAGGAGAAACAAAGACCCAUGGCCACAAGGAAGGAACAACAAUGUUCUUACACAAAGCGGCCUUCAGGACCUUUGUAGUGGCUGACACGGUGGCCAUGUGCAGCUCAAUGGUGGUGGCACUGGUGCUAGUGUGGGCGGUCCCAAGUGUGCUGGGUAUGCUCGCCAAUGCAGUAGGUUGGGGGCUAAGGCUGUUAUGGGUGGCACUGGGGGGAAUGGUGGUCACGUUCGUGACAGCUGUGUACGUGACGAUCUCACCAGAUUGCAUGUGGUUGGUCGUUGUAUGUGUGAUGGGAUGUAGCGUGCCAUUCUUAGUUGCUCCCAUUGUCACUCUUUCCGCGUGUCAGAGUGUGCCAAAGAAGGCUUUCCAGUAUGACCAGAUCCAAGCUCCAUUGCGCUGAAAAAGUCGACAUCUCAAUGGAAAAUGUAACUCGCAAGCAGAAAUCCGCCAGUUUGCCAAAAUUACUACCAUGGCACUAGCUGGUAAAAAUGACAUCCCUGUUUGCUUCUAUUCAUGUGACCCAUCUAGGUAAAGGGGUGAACACACUGACUUUUCCCUUUCGCUUUUGGAUAUGAUUUGAGUCCUCUAAUUAGGAAAAUCCAUGGAAAGAUCAAUGGGAACACAAGAAUCAACUGACCUCCAUCCUAAAAGGAAGCCAGGGUUUUAUUGUCGUUCAUUCUUUUGUUGAGUGUUCAGUAUUCUGAUAUGCAAAACUGCAACGAAUUGCGAA
This is an RNA transcript of Amborella trichopoda, 1767 nucleotides long. It is a transcript of the gene named ankyrin repeat domain-containing protein SAT10, with no coding region annotated. Lineage: Eukaryota; Viridiplantae; Streptophyta; Magnoliopsida; Amborellales; Amborellaceae. The record is from RefSeq and is a predicted model, not a curated record.